AUGCCACCAUUCACACGAAUUUGUGAUGGUUUCUGUUGGUGCUUCAUAUUAAUUUAUUUGACACAAGGGAGAUUUGUGCAGGUGCAGACCCUCAAAAGACCUUCUAAAACACCAAAAGAGAGAAAGGAAAUGCUAAGGUGGCAAGUAGCUUCAAAGAAGAUGUGCCCUGGGCUGCUACUUCUGGAGUUCUACAAAGUUUCAACAGGAACAGACACAGGAAGCAAGGAAGUGGAGAAACUGGAAGAAUGUGGAUGCAAUGGGGGUAAAUUAGCCCAAUAAAUCAUAGCUGUUUCAAAAGGAUCAUGUCAUCCCUAUUUGUCCAAGGUCCACUCUUUCAGUCUGGAAUCUUCUGCCUGCCAUAGUGAUCUGACCAAAUCAUGCAUAUCAGCACCAAAAAAAAAGAGGUGAAACAAACAACUUGUAAAAUUGAAUAUAUACUAUAGACAAGCUGCAGCAGGAAGACACCUACCUUUCCUUUGCAAAGAUGCCAGCUCUGCGAUUGGUGCCUGCCUGUGCCCGCGUUAAAGGGGAAAUCUGAUCAGACCUGAAGGAUUAGAAUACAUCUGUUAAACUUUUUAAGAUCUUAGACUUUUCUCCCCCACCACCAGGUUUGCAGCACAACUCAUUCAUAUAUAAAUCUCCAUAUGCUUCUCCUUAAUGCACUUGGCCUUAUGAGACGUAGUUCACACCACCUGGAUGGUGUUACCUAACAAAUUUCUUAAGCUUAUAUGAAUGUAAA
This 739-nucleotide long non-coding RNA is filed under the name Anas platyrhynchos platyrhynchos (common mallard). RNAcentral's name for it is "lncRNA (ENSAPLG00000016977.1)". Lineage: Eukaryota; Metazoa; Chordata; Aves; Anseriformes; Anatidae. The record is from RNAcentral.